Molecule: long non-coding RNA, 1557 nt
Organism: Gadus morhua (Atlantic cod)
Lineage: Eukaryota; Metazoa; Chordata; Actinopteri; Gadiformes; Gadidae
Source: Ensembl
UCAUCAUUGUUAGCCAACACAAUAUCGCAUCGUAUUUAUUCAAUCCAAUAUAUAUUCUAACAUGUAUUCGGAGAUAAUGUUCCACCAGUAGUCUACUCUACGCUGUGGGCUAACGGUACUCAAAAGAAGAACUCGGGUGUAAAUAGUUUAACAAUGAAGCUGAUCUCCAUGACAAACAGCCCAACAGCAGCCCGGUGUCACCGUCGCCAUAGUCACCGUGUUGGUCCUUUAAGUCGACGCGUGCAGGAGUUUCAAAACAAGACAAACACAGACAGCAACAGGAUUUACAUUUGAACAUUUCUCUAAAAUGCCCAAAGGAGGGAAGGGAUAUUCUUCCGCGAGCAAUGAUGGCAAAUGGUAUGCCCAUGACACAGGGUUCAAAGAAGCGUGCACCAUCACUGGGACCAUGCUGGGGCAGGUUGUAUCGUCUGGGCCGCAAGAACUACGAGUUGAACGUCAUCUCAAGUCGAAAAAGCAGGAUCCUCCUGAUUUUCGAUUCUCGACCCACGACAACAGAGAAGCGAUACGAGACGGGAUCUGCCUCUUUUCUCAGGGUCUUGGGCGCAAGAAGUGUCCAGAUGACCACAGACAGCACAACUCUCACUUCUGCCUGUGCCACGAUGAUCCUGUGGCAGUAAGUUGGCCGUCGACCGCGGGGGACCUCACGGCCUACCAGACUGAAGGCUUAGUGAGGAAGGACCAGGCAGAGGCCGUCACCAACAGGCGUUUCCCCCGCAGCCAUCAGGAGAAGUCAGCAGAGGCCGCCGCGGCCCAGGCCAGGGAACCUGCUUUCAUGUGGUUUGGACGACACGACUCAGAGGACUCUGUGCCCCUUGGGGUCCUUGCAGCUACUAACUGCUUAGCCACGCGAAUAUAAGCCGCGGUUUCUUGCAUCAUUACAUUGUAAGCUCUCCCUUAGUAAGAGGGGAGUAAUUGAACGUGUUUCUAUUUUUUAUUUUUAUUUUUUUGCCAGCAGAGGGCAGCAUAUAUUCUAGUUUAAAUCUGCGAGCAAAUUGGGAUGAAAUGGAUAUCAAUGGUUUGGUCUUGGUUCGUUCCUUUCAAACCGCAUACUAUGUAGGCAUAGCAAUAACCAUUAAACAAUGCGCCAUCAAGUGAUUAAGCAAGAGUAAGCAAGUGAUAACGUCCACUUAUAGAAUGAAUUGGGAGUUAUUUGAGCUAAAGGCCUAUAUGUAUAGAUUUUUGUCACCAAUCGAUUGCACAUUAAAAGCCCUGUUGAAAUGGAAAAAAGUAAAUGAUUUCCACAUGGACUUUCAACCACCCUGUAAAUCGUCAGUGCUUGCAUAUAUUUAUCUCACUCACACACACACACACACACACACACACACACACACACACACACACACACACACACACACACACACACACACACACACACACACACACACACACACACACACACACACACACAUAGGUUCAGCAAAACUGCUGCUUCCAUAGAGUGAUCUCCUAAUCCAGUAGGUUGGUGACCUAUGCCAUGGUAGGAAGUCAAGGAUUUGGUUAUUUGAGACACAGAAAUACAAGGUGAAAAUAAAUAAG